Non-coding RNA from Phrynosoma platyrhinos (Desert horned lizard), 71 nucleotides. The record is from the annotation of a GenBank genome assembly. Lineage: Eukaryota; Metazoa; Chordata; Lepidosauria; Squamata; Phrynosomatidae.
AUCUUCUUGUGCAGUGGUUUCAACGUUGGACUAAGACUCUGGAGACCAGGGUUCGAGUCCCAGAUCAGCUA